GAACGCUGGCGGCGUGCUUAACACAUGCAAGUCGAACGAUGAAGCGGUGCUUGCACCGUGGAUGAGUGGCGAACGGGUGAGUAAUGCGUGAGUGACCUGCCCCCUUCUUCGGGAUAAGCCUUGGAAACGGGGUCUAAUACCGGAUAUUCCCUUCCUUCUGCAUGGUUGGUUGGGGAAAGUUUUUUCGGUGGGGGAUGGGCUCGCGUCCUAUCAGCUUGUUGGUGGGGUGAUGGCCUACCAAGGCGUCGACGGGUAGCCGGCCUGAGAGGGUGACCGGCCACACUGGGACUGAGAUACGGCCCAGACUCCUACGGGAGGCAGCAGUGGGGGAUAUUGCACAAUGGGCGCAAGCCUGAUGCAGCGACGCCGCGUGAGGGAUGACGGCUUCGGUUGUAACCUCUUUACUAUUGAACAAGGCGCCAUAUUGGUGUGUUGAGGGUAGGUGGUGAAGUAAGCGCCGGCUAACUACGUGCCAGCAGCCGCGGUAAUACGUAGGCGCGAGCGUGUC
This 508-nucleotide ribosomal RNA is filed under the name uncultured bacterium. RNAcentral describes it as "bacterial SSU rRNA". It matches the Rfam family "Bacterial small subunit ribosomal RNA", at positions 33 to 541 of the family's 1533-position model. The record is from RNAcentral.